Molecule: ribosomal RNA, 640 nt
Filed under: uncultured bacterium
Lineage: Bacteria
Description: bacterial SSU rRNA
Rfam family: Bacterial small subunit ribosomal RNA
Source: RNAcentral
CGCGGCCUAUCAGCUUGUUGGUGAGGUAACGGCUCACCAAGGCAACGACGGGUAGCUGGUUUGAGAGAACGAUCAGCCACACUGGAACUGAGACACGGUCCAGACUUCUACGGAAGGCAGCAGUAGGGAAUCUUGCGCAAUGGGCGAAAGCCUGACGCAGCGACGCCGCGUGCGGGAUGACGGCCCUAGUGGUUGUAAACCGCUUUCAGCAGGGACGAAAAUGACGGUACCUGCAGAAGAAGUCCCGGCUAACUACGUGCCAGCAGCCGCGGUAAUACGUAGGGGACAAGCGUUGUCCGGAUUCAUUGGGCGUAAAGAGCUCGUAGGCGGUUCAGUAAGUUGGGUGUGAAAGCUCCGGGCUCAACCCGGAGAGGCCACUCAAUACUGCUGUGACUAGAGUCCAGUAGAGGAGCGUGGAACUCCUGGUGUAGCGGUGAAAUGCGCAGAUAUCAGGAAGAACACCGGCAGCGAAGGCGGCGCUCUGGGCUGGUACUGGCGCUGAGGAGCGAAAGCAUGGGUAGCAAACAGGAUUAGAUAUCCUGGUAGUCCAUGCCGUAAACGUUGGGCACUAGGUGUGGGGAGGAAUCAACCCUCUCCGUGCCGUAGCUAACGCAUUAAGUGCCCCGCCUGGGGAGUACGG